AGCAGCCGCGGUAAUUCCAGCUCCAAUAGCGUAUAUUAAAGUUGUUGCAGUUAAAAAGCUCGUAGUUGAAUUUCGGGAUCAAUCUAUCGGUCGUGCAAUAGUACGUACUGAUUUUAUUGAUUCCUCCCUUCUGAUGAACUAUGAUGUCAUUAAUUUGGUGUCAUAGGGAAUCAGGACUGUUACUUUGAAAAAAUUAGAGUGUUUAAAGCAGGCUCACGCUUGAAUACAUUAGCAUGGAAUAACGAAAUAGGACGUUUGAUUCUAUUUUGUUGGUUUCUAGGAUCGACGUAAUGAUUAAUAGGGAUAGUUGGGGGCAUUAGUAUUCAAUUGUCAGAGGUGAAAUUCUUGGAUUUAUUGAAGACUAACUACUGCGAAGGCAUUUGCCAAGGAUGUUUUCAUUAAUCAAGAACGAAAGUUAGGGGAUCGAAGACGAUCAGAUACCGUCGUAGUCUUAACCAUAAACUAUGCCGACUAGGGAUCGGAUGAUGUUAAUUUUUAAUGACUCAUUC
Molecule: ribosomal RNA, 509 nt
Filed under: uncultured Glomus
Lineage: Eukaryota; Fungi; Glomeromycota; Glomeromycetes; Glomerales; Glomeraceae
Description: SSU rRNA
Rfam family: Eukaryotic small subunit ribosomal RNA
Source: RNAcentral